RNAcentral lists this small nuclear RNA (194 nucleotides) under Coccidioides posadasii str. Silveira. RNAcentral's name for it is "U2 spliceosomal RNA". It matches the Rfam family "U2 spliceosomal RNA". Rfam says of the family: U2 is a small nuclear RNA (snRNA) component of the spliceosome (involved in pre-mRNA splicing). Lineage: Eukaryota; Fungi; Ascomycota; Eurotiomycetes; Onygenales; Onygenaceae. The record is from Rfam by way of RNAcentral.
CCAGCUCUCUUUGCCAUUAUGGCUUAGAUCAAGUGUAGUAUCUGUUCUUUUCAGUUUAAUCUCUGAAAGUAUUCUAAGGAAUACAACAUUGAUUAAUCUUAUUUUUGGAUCCCGCAGGAAAACCUCUGUGCUUGCGCAUGUUUUCCGGCACUGUGUCAUCAGUCUUACACUACCGCUGAUUGACGCGAAUUUUC